UGGGGGAUAUUGCACAAUGGGCGCAAGCCUGAUGCAGCGACGCCGCGUGGGGGAUGAAGGCCUUCGGGUUGUAAACUUCUUUUGCUCUGAACAAGGCGCACUUUGGGGUGUGUUGAGUGUAGGGGUUGAUUAGCGCCGGCUAACUACGUGCCAGCAGCCGCGGUAAUACGUAGGGCGCGAGCGUUGUCCGGAAUUAUUGGGCGUAAAGGGCUUGUAGGUGGCUGGUUGCGUCUGUCGUGAAAGCUCAUGGCUUAACUGUGGGUUUGCGGUGGGUACGGGCUGUCUUGAGUGCAGUAGGGGAGGCUGGAAUUCCUGGUGUAGCGGUGGAAUGCGCAGAUAUCAGGAGGAAUACCGGUGGCGAAGGCGGGUCUCUGGGCUGUUACUGACACUGAGGAGCGAAAGCAUGGGGAGUGAACAGG
Molecule: ribosomal RNA, 419 nt
Filed under: bacterium
Lineage: Bacteria
Description: partial 16S ribosomal RNA
Rfam family: Bacterial small subunit ribosomal RNA
Source: RNAcentral